CUGGCUUUCACCUUCGUUGUCACGCGAUUAUCGUAAACUAGCGUGAGCUCAGUGCCCGACCCACUGAACCAGCCGUCGACCCUGGAGCCUCCAGCUCAUUGAUCUUUGUAUACAAUUUAAUAAAACUAGUUAUACCGCGACCAAGCAGCCCAGAACAGACGACGUAUACCCCCCUAUCCUUUAAUCCGGUAUCCGGGAGUUCCGCCUUGAGGAACCAGGUCGGCAGGCGGCGGCGUUAUCCGUACACCUGGCAUCCUGGUUAUCUCUGGCCUCCUGGAUCACGUCGUCGAGGGUCAACUGGAUACGACUGUCCGGCCUCGGGUCCGGCCGCCUUUGGUUACACUUGAGCAUGACUUUGAGGCGCGGGAUCUUGGAGAGGUGGUCAUAGAACCGCACUAUAUGCAAGGACCCAGAAGGCCUCGGUUCAGAGGCAGCACACACGGGCUGAUCCCGGCAGUUGCACAAGAAACUGAUGGCCUUCCGGCUGGAACUAACAUCGAACUCGGCGCUGACCAGGUAGCAGGGCUCCAGGGAGAGCACUAUACGCAUCACUAGAGGAAGAGAGUCCGGGAGGAAGAGUAGGCCGAGCAACUGUCUCACUGGCACUGAUCUUACCCGAAGAGGUCUCCAGGAUCUGUGACCGGUUCUGAAUCCAAACUGACCGUAAGCUCGGCUGAUUGGAACGUGGGCUGCGGAGCGAGCUGUCCAGGUAUUCCCGUAUGGUCAUCGCAUGAUUGGAGUGACGCAGUCCCAGGAGCUGUUGCCGUGAGUUGCCGGGCAAGGCGGCCAGAGGCAGGUUGUCGUAGACGGAGACAUAGAUCUUGUGGCUGAUAUAGACCACCACGAAGCACAGGAUGACGAUGAGCAGUCCGAUAAGCAGGUAAGUGAACAGUGUCGGUAUAAAGAAGAUGGCGUCCAGAAACAUGGGGUCGCUGAUCCGGAAGUGCUAACUCACUGACAGAAUACGCAAAUCUACAGAGAGGGUUACGGGAAUCCAUGGGAGGAUCUUCGAAUCUCUUGGUUU
Drosophila melanogaster (fruit fly) is the source of this 1024-nucleotide non-coding RNA. The record is from Ensembl. Lineage: Eukaryota; Metazoa; Arthropoda; Insecta; Diptera; Drosophilidae.